GUCAAAAGGCUCAAUCUUACAGGUGCUUUCAGCAGAUAUGCAGCAAGUCAACAAUGUUUUAAUAAUUGUUCUUACUGUUAGUACAGAAAUUAGCAAUGGUUUGUUGCAUCUGAACUGACCUCAAAAUAUUUAUCCUGGGAUAGUGGAGUAGCCUUUGAACUGAGCAAUCUUGAAUAGAGAAGAUAUUCAACCUGGAUUUGAGUGAGGAGAACCAAGGACAGGAGGCUGGGGACAACUCAGCUCCAAAAGCUGCCUCAGAUCUCCUGUCUUGUCGAAGUGCUGGGCAAAAGGGACAGAAAUCAGCUGGAAGAGGGAGCAAAGUUUAUCUGUGCUUUGUUAGACUGUGGCAAAAGGGUCUCUGCAUAUUGCUUUCACCAAUCUCCCUGUGCAUUCAUCAAAAUGGUCCCACACCCCAGUGACUGUGGGAUCCAAGCCCAGCCAGCUCCUGGGCCCACACAGGAGGAGGAGAGCAUUUCAAAGGACUAACAGAAGUGAAAUACAAAAUUUCAUGAUCACUGGAAGCAAGGAAAAGUCCUCAAAUUGGCUCCUUGGAUGGAGUUUCCUGCUCUUCUCCAGCCCAGGAGAUCAGUGCCCUGUGCUGAGUGACAGUGAGGCUCACAGAGACAGCAAAAACAAAAAGCUUUCCUCUCCUUCCUCCACAAGGCUUUAA
Molecule: long non-coding RNA, 670 nt
Filed under: Cyanistes caeruleus (blue tit)
Lineage: Eukaryota; Metazoa; Chordata; Aves; Passeriformes; Paridae
Description: lncRNA (ENSCCEG00000008868.1)
Source: RNAcentral